Molecule: non-coding RNA, 83 nt
Filed under: Catenulispora acidiphila
Lineage: Bacteria; Bacillati; Actinomycetota; Actinomycetes; Catenulisporales; Catenulisporaceae
Source: RNAcentral
GGAAGCCGGUGGGAAUCCGGCACGGUCGCGCCACUGUGAAACCCCAACCUCGGCAGGCAGCCGAGGCCGGGGGUAAGUCAGAC